GGGUGGCCGACUCUCCUGGUUUGCCUGGGACGGAGGCAGUUCCUGGGACACAGGACUUUAGUUCUAAA
This 68-nucleotide microRNA precursor is filed under the name Myotis lucifugus (little brown bat). RNAcentral describes it as "miRNA (ENSMLUG00000021569.1)". The record is from RNAcentral. Lineage: Eukaryota; Metazoa; Chordata; Mammalia; Chiroptera; Vespertilionidae.